Tupaia belangeri chinensis (Chinese tree shrew) is the source of this 796-nucleotide long non-coding RNA. RefSeq lists it as uncharacterized. The transcript is spliced from 4 exons. Lineage: Eukaryota; Metazoa; Chordata; Mammalia; Scandentia; Tupaiidae. The record is from RefSeq and is a predicted model, not a curated record.
CACAAGGAUACAAGUCACAUUCUGCCCUACUACAGUUCUGCCUUCUACCAUUUGUGAUGCUUUUGGACUUUCCAUAAUUAACAAGUACAAACUGAUCUGUCCAGGAGCUCCACUGACAAACUGUUUCACCAUCAUGAUGGGAUCUUAUGAUCAACCCACAAGAUUCAUUUGAUUUAUCCAAAGGUUAAAUAGGUAUGAAAAGAAGACAAGAAGAGAUGCUUACUGUGUUUGUAUUGUGAUUUCAUAAAGCUCCUUCUACAAUGCCACAUUUUCCAAAACACACACAACAGGAACUUUGAUCUAGUUCAAUGCUACAAUUUUGUUGACUAGGAAAAAUAAAGACCCAGAGAGUUUAAAAAGAGUUGUGAAGCAGCAGAGACAACUUGCAACAUCAAUGCAUUUUGGCCCAGGGACUUCAAACAAACGUACAGUGUGGUGGUGGUUCAAGAAGUUUUGCAAAACAGGUAAGAACCUUGAAGAUGAGGAGCACUGUAAUGACUUGCCAUCAGAAGUGACCAACUGAGAACAAUCAUCAAAGUUGAUCCUCUUAAAACUACAUGAGAAGUUGCCAAAGAACCCAAUGUUGACCACUCAAACGUCAGUGAGCAUUUGAAGCAAAUUGGAAAGGUAAAAAAGUUCAAUGAGUAGGUGCCUCAUGAGCUGACCAUAAAUUUAAAAAGUUAAAAAAAAAACAUUUUUAAGUGUCAUCUUCACUUAUUCUACGCAACAACAAACCACACUUUUCAUUUGGACUGUAACAUGAUAAAAAGUGAACUUUAAAGUAUAGAGGUUAAAG